AUCUCACCCUGAACCCCCCUUUUCCCUCUAGAUCCAUCCCUGCAUCCCAAAGGGAUGCGCUGGCAGGCGGCGACUGCACCCGGAGCGCUGCAGGCCCCUUCCACCUCUUCAUCCCGGAUGCCGAGCCAGGAGGAGCUUUGCAGCAUGGUCCGGAUGUGAUCCUAGGGGCAAAGGCGGCGUCACCCCAUGGCACAGCCCCCCCAAAAGCCCUUGGGGACAGCAGGGGGACACCGGGCCCAUCCACCUCCAGGAGCUGAGCCCCCAGGAGCGAGCAGAAGCGCCGGGCGUUCUCCCAGGAAGCUGCUGUCUUGGAGUACAAAUAGCAGGAAUUCCGGAAGUGGAGCCAGCCUUUGGAGCAAGGGGGACAGCCUGC
Pezoporus occidentalis (night parrot) is the source of this 373-nucleotide long non-coding RNA. RefSeq lists it as uncharacterized. Lineage: Eukaryota; Metazoa; Chordata; Aves; Psittaciformes; Psittacidae. The record is from RefSeq and is a predicted model, not a curated record. The transcript has 3 exons.